CUGUAGGAAAGAAGUUGCCAAUACAUGCAAAUCUCUACUAGCUUCUGUCACCUCUGCCCUGUACAACACCACAUAUGUGGCCACGCCUGCCUUUCAAAAUAAUGGGAUAAUUGGGUGCAACGCGUGUCGCCCCCACCCCUUAAAGAGAGCCUGCCAGUCGGUCUUUGUGGAAAUCCACGGGGAGCCGGGUGAGCAAAACGCCAGUGUCUGACUUCGCCUUGAUUGCAUCUGUGCCCUACAAACUCCAACAGAAUUGAACUCACAGCUCCUCCUAAUUAGGGGAGAAAGAAAGACAAGAAUGAUAGCAGAAGAAUUUCUUCCUGCUUCUGACUGCAAGCUCUUCAGAGACAGCCCAUUAAGCCCCCAGCCUCCAACUUCUCUUUCCUGACUCAUAUCUGGAGUACCUAACACGGUGCCAGGUUCUCCCUGGGAUUAUAGCCCCGAGUGUGACAAGAGUGAUGAACAGGGGCUGGUUUGAAGAGCCAGUCCCUGCUCCGGGGGCCUGUCUCCGGUCUACUGUGAGGCAAUGCUGAGCGGCGGCCUAGGGGGGAUCUGGGAGGCCUCAAGCCAGACAGGAGAACAUUCUCGCGAAGCACAAUCACAAAAGAACAGAAUGUCCUGAUGUUUGGAAGCUGACCACAGGGAAUCUCAGGAUGCCAAAAAUCUCCUUUGGGACAUUAGAUGUGCCUUGAAUUUCACCACUACAAGUUCUACCAUCAGGGAAAGCCGAUAACACCUCUGGCCCUGUUUAAACAAGCCUUCCGCUUAGCUGCCCCGAAAGGCAGGCAGUGAUGAAUGGCGCCUACUACAAAAGAAAGCCGACGGGCACACAUGGGCCCGGUGUUGUUUCUGUCAGGGCAGCUCAAAGGGAAGGCCACACCACACGAAGGAUGUGCUUGCUUCUGCUUCUGCCAUGAUUGUAAGUUUCCUGAAGCCUCCCCAGCCCUGCAGAACUGUAAGUCAAUUAAAUUCUUUCCUUUAUAAAUUAC
Symphalangus syndactylus (siamang) is the source of this 989-nucleotide long non-coding RNA. RefSeq lists it as uncharacterized. NCBI's taxonomy places the organism in Eukaryota, Metazoa, Chordata, Mammalia, Primates, Hylobatidae. The record is from RefSeq and is a predicted model, not a curated record.